This is a long non-coding RNA of Xenia sp. Carnegie-2017, 1421 nucleotides long. RefSeq lists it as uncharacterized. The record is from RefSeq and is a predicted model, not a curated record. The transcript is spliced from 2 exons. NCBI's taxonomy places the organism in Eukaryota, Metazoa, Cnidaria, Anthozoa, Malacalcyonacea, Xeniidae.
GAGAGAAACAUACUAAUUAUACUGCAUCGCAUAAAAUGACAAAAAUAUGAAACUUGUAACGCAUUGCCCACCUUUUCCUUAAUAAAAAUGCGAAAUACGUCUUUGAUGUUAGUUGACGACUCCUUUCACUGGCUGCCACACUGAUGUAUAUAUCAUGCAUUCUUUGUUUUGUAUUAACUCUUUUGUACAAUUAUACACGCCCUGACCGGACGUAAAUUCCAGAGAUUAGAAUAAAAAUAGUGAAAAGGUCAAGGGCUAGAAAAUUGACAAUAUGAUUGCCCACAAGUAAAAGUCACCACCGAGAGGGAUCGAAAGUACCUACUUCAGAAAUGCGAUACAAGUUUUUUGUCUCGUGAUUUUGAAAUCUCUUUCUCACAAAUAAUCAUGUUUGAGCAUGCAUGCAUAUCAAAUAUCCCUACAUUUCAUACAAGCACGAUUCAUAAUUCAUAGUUUACAUUUUAUAAAACAAACAAACAGUCUAUUGUAAAUUCACUUUAACAGAAAACAAUGAUAUGAAAUGCGGUCAAUGAUCGGAACCGACACGUUUUAAAACAUUCUUGCAUUCCAAACACUAGCAAAUGGAUCAGAUAUUAACUAAGAUUUAAAAGAAUACCAUAGGUAUUCUUAGGUUUGAUGAAAUAUAUAAUGAUUAACAGCUAUUUUAUGUCUCGACUUGUUGCCUCGAUUGAGCAAACUUUUCUAAACCAUACGUCAUUUCAAACAAUUAUUAAAUAUGAAAACGCUUCACUGUAGCAUACCAAAUGAUUUAUGUACCAUGGAAACAAAUACACGUACAAUGUCCAAUACCUCGUACACAACGCCAUUUCCAGUCAAAUUUACGUAUUAGUACUACAAAGUACAAUUAUGUUCACAUAAUUUGUCUUUUAAGUAACUUUGCUGCUAAUGAAGAAGAUCCAGGAAAUGUCAAGAAUCUAAUAUCAAAGCACUUUGGCUGGUUUCCACUCGUACACAGGAAGUGUCAAAUAGUAUUAAAGAGAAUGGUUAAAUUUUCGUUCAUGUACACGUGCUGUGACACGCAUCCACCUACGCAAAAAAAUAAUUGGUUUCAAAAGCCACCCUGUAUACUAUGGAUACCACUGUUGAUGUAGGGCUGUAGCUUGUCAAGUCUUACAAAACUAUUAUUUCUGUGAUUUUGAAUUUCCCAUUUCAGCAUUUCAAAUGCCGAGUAUAGAUAAGAUUAACAUAAAAUUGUUUAUACUGGCGGACGAAACAAUAGAGUGUAAUUGUUUAGUUAUUGUGUUGGCAUUCCGUCAAUAAAAAUAUAAUAUAUGCCGCCGUAUGUAUAAUUAUUUAACCUUUUCACUUCUUAAAAUCAACUCCUGAUAAAGUAUAGAUGUAUAUUUUUAAAAUGAAAUUUGUAGAGAAGCUAUAAGAGAACGUUAAUGAAUGUCAUUUCAAAA